This 478-nucleotide ribosomal RNA is filed under the name uncultured bacterium. Its description in RNAcentral is "partial 16S ribosomal RNA". It matches the Rfam family "Bacterial small subunit ribosomal RNA", at positions 28 to 523 of the family's 1533-position model. The record is from RNAcentral.
GACGAACGCUGGCGGCGUGCUUAACACAUGCAAGUCGAACGGUAAGGCCCUUCGGGGUACACGAGUGGCGAACGGGUGAGUAACACGUGGGUGAUCUGCCCUGCACUUCGGGAUAAGCCUGGGAAACUGGGUCUAAUACCGGAUAGGACCACUGCCUGCAUGGGUGGUGGUGGAAAGCUUUUGCGGUGUGGGAUGGGCCCGCGGCCUAUCAGCUUGUUGGUGGGGUGAUGGCCUACCAAGGCGACGACGGGUAGCCGGCCUGAGAGGGUGACCGGCCACACUGGGACUGAGAUACGGCCCAGACUCCUACGGGAGGCAGCAGUGGGGAAUAUUGCACAAUGGGCGCAAGCCUGAUGCAGCGACGCCGCGUGAGGGAUGACGGCCUUCGGGUUGUAAACCUCCUUCAGCACCGACGAAGCGCAAGUGGCGGUAGGUGCAGAAGAAGGACCGGCCAACUACGUGCCAGCAGCCGCCGUAA